GCAUUAAUGGGGUAGUGGUAACCUGGGUCGUUGCCAUCGGGCGUUACGAUAAAGAUGUCGACCCGCCGGGGGUUCGAUUCCCCCUUAAUGCA
Molecule: non-coding RNA, 92 nt
Organism: Mycena galopus ATCC 62051
Lineage: Eukaryota; Fungi; Basidiomycota; Agaricomycetes; Agaricales; Mycenaceae
Source: the annotation of a GenBank genome assembly